RNAcentral lists this ribosomal RNA (238 nucleotides) under uncultured bacterium. Its description in RNAcentral is "partial 16S ribosomal RNA". It matches the Rfam family "Bacterial small subunit ribosomal RNA", at positions 96 to 334 of the family's 1533-position model. The record is from RNAcentral.
CGGCGGACGGGUGAGUAACGCGUGGGUAACCUGCCUCAUACAGGGGGAUAACAGUUAGAAAUGACUACUAAUACCGCAUAAGACCACGGUACCGCAUGGUACAGUGGUAAAAACUCCGGUGGUAUGAGAUGGACCCGCGUCUGAUUAGGUAGUUGGUGGGGUAACGGCCUACCAAGCCGACGAUCAGUAGCCGACCUGAGAGGGUGACCGGCCACAUUGGGACUGAGACACGGCCCAG